GGAAUAUGUCCAAUGUCCACCUUUGAACCUUGCAUAUAAAAUCACGUUUUAAUGGUAAAAAACCGUUAAUAUUCAAACUAUCAAAUCACUAUUUUCUUCAGAGCUUGAGAGAUGAGAGCUAGCUAGGGCCUGGGGCUAGGGGGAACAGACUGCAGUCGUUGCUAGCCUCCUUGUGGUGAACCAUGUAUCCUCUACUAUCUAUGGCACAAGCCGUACUGUACAAGUGAAAGCAAUCCUUGAGAUCUGCAACGUCUUGGUCUACAAAGAGUUUGUCGUUCACUUCUCAUUUCUUUCUUUACCCAUGUUCCUGUGCAUCAUUACUGUGUGGCUUGUGCUACACUGAGUACAUAUUCAAAUUUUGAGUGGAGUUCUACUGGGGCUAUUGUAGCAUUGUCCUUGGGACCGAGGCUAUAGGACAAAUCGGACUGCUCUGCCUCAUAAGUGAAGAGGCGAACACAAAUGGCAGAAUGUUCCCUCACAAUAAUGAUCGUUUUUUGUGCAAUAAAACAAUGUUUGCUGUAUUAAUUUACAACAUGUUGGGAUGCAUGAGCACAUUAAUUUUAAUACAACAUGUACCCUGUAUGGAUCUGCGCUAUAGAUCUAUAUAGUAUUAAUUGAAGAUUUAAAGUUUCAUGUGCUUCUUGUGCAUAAUCCUCUGGAGCCACCCCCACAUCACAGAAUUAUAAGGUCAAAGUUCAUGGACAUAAUUAUUCUAGGCUCUCGUGGAGUACGUGAUCAGACCUUUCCUGUAAAAGAGAACGAUAGCUAUACAGAGAUCUUAGCAAAUGAACUGGAUAUGAAUAACAAGUUGAAGAGGACUUUUAUCGGUUUGGUACUUCUUUUGAUCGGUAUCUAUAUGUAUCAAUGUUUCAAUACAUAUGCUGUACGACCAGAUACUAAGGUACAUAUCUAUUCUAUGAUUAUUCGAUCAGCAUACAUUGACACACGUGCGAGAAAUGGUUACAAACACUCUGUUAAUACAGUAGUGAUUUUUGCAGAGGCCUCUAUGGAAAUACGCAAACAUGGGUUAAUUGAAGGCUGCGGUGCUGAUUCCAUUAAUGCUAAAGCUUUUAACCCUAUUCCUCUUUACUUUCCGUGGAUUACCUAUCAUUUCCCAAAACUUACUCACGAGGAGAUAAUGAUUGAUUGUUACGAUCUUGAACUCCAUGAAAACAGCACUGCUUUUGUACGUUAUCGUCCACUUUCAAACUCAGAUAUGACGAUAACAGCUACUAUUGACGUUACAUACCCUGCACAUAGAGAUGACUAUAAAGACAAAGUUGUUGUUUGUACGAACUGCUUUGGCAAACCACCUUGGUUAAGUGAGUGGCUAAAAUAUCAGAAGACUAUUGGAGUUGAUUUGGUUCAAUUAUAUGUUGAAGAGCAAUUUAUGAGUGACAAUGAAAAUCUCAAAAUUAUUGAAAGUUAUAUUCAAGAAGGUUUCCUGAAAGUAGAAAAUCGUAAAACAUAUUUCAAUACAUCACAGAUUUACUACCACUCAGAACUUAUAAACCAUCAUGAUUGUUUGUAUCGCUAUCGAGAAGUGUUUGAAUUUGCCUUCUUUUUAGACACCGAUGACUUUUUUAUCCCACGUCUACCUAACAAGACUAAUGUACACGACUAUGUCAACCAAUUUUUUUGUGAGGACAAUCAAGUAUCAGCUGAAUUUGUGUGGCUCAAAUAUUUUCCGGAUUGUGGCUUAACACAACCGUUAUCAAAUUUGAAAGAUGGUAAUAUAACAAGUUUACUCAAAGUUAAAGAAUUCUGGAAGUCACCGGAGCCAAAAUUUGUUUGUAGACCAACCCUGACGACAUCGAUUGGAAUUCAUUCUACAACUGGAAUAUUGGGAGGAACAACAAUUGUUCAUCCACCUGUUGAUGUAGCUUACAUAGCUCAUGUUAGGGCUCACGAAUUAUUAGGCCUACCAAGUAAUGCUGAUUGCAAAAUUUGACUAAUAUCACUAUGUAUCACAGCUAAUAAUUAUAAUUAGGCCAAUGUUAAUCAAUGUCUUGUUUCUGGUUUGGGAAUCACCUUACCACUAUA
Long non-coding RNA from Halichondria panicea, 2043 nucleotides. RefSeq lists it as uncharacterized. The transcript has 2 exons. Lineage: Eukaryota; Metazoa; Porifera; Demospongiae; Suberitida; Halichondriidae. The record is from RefSeq and is a predicted model, not a curated record.